Molecule: long non-coding RNA, 207 nt
Filed under: Mytilus galloprovincialis (Mediterranean mussel)
Lineage: Eukaryota; Metazoa; Mollusca; Bivalvia; Mytilida; Mytilidae
Source: RNAcentral
CUGCCCGCUAGACAUGUACACCUUACAAUCGUUCCAUACAACAAAUAUAGUAGACCUAUUGCAUAUAGUAUGAGAAAAACAGACCAAAACACAAAAAUUUAACAUGGACCACUGAACCAUGAAAAUGAGGUCAAGGUCACAUGACAUCUGCCCGCUAGACAUGUACACCUUACAAUCGUUCCAUACAACAAUAUAGUAGACCUAUUG